RNAcentral lists this ribosomal RNA (254 nucleotides) under uncultured bacterium. RNAcentral describes it as "partial 16S ribosomal RNA". It matches the Rfam family "Bacterial small subunit ribosomal RNA", at positions 524 to 776 of the family's 1533-position model. The record is from RNAcentral.
GACAGAGGGUGCAAACGUUUGUUCGGAAUUACUGGGCGUAAAGCGUGUGUAGGCGGUCCGAUAAGUCGGGUGUGAAAGCCCUGGGCUCAACCCAGGAAGUGCACUCGAAACUGCCGGGCUAGAGUAUCGGAGAGGUUGGUGGAAUUCUCGGUGUAGAGGUGAAAUUCGUAGAUAUCGAGAGGAACACCGGCGGCGAAGGCGGCCAACUGGACGAAUACUGACGCUGAGACACGAAAGCGUGGGGAGCAAACAGG